This is a long non-coding RNA of Hermetia illucens (black soldier fly), 1028 nucleotides long. RefSeq lists it as uncharacterized. The record is from RefSeq and is a predicted model, not a curated record. NCBI's taxonomy places the organism in Eukaryota, Metazoa, Arthropoda, Insecta, Diptera, Stratiomyidae. The transcript has 3 exons.
GACGGACUAUAACUGACAUACCUAAGUCUUAUCUGCUACUUACUAUCUCUAGCUAUGUUUCCUAAUUCAUUUUUAAUUUUCCUAAAGCCUUAUCCACAGACUUUGAUAUUAUUCUCUCAAUCAUUGUUCCAUUUUUAAUGAUUGAGGAUUCUUUCCUACUGUAUGAAUUUAUCUUAUGGUUCUAACUAGAUUCUCUUGUAACUUUUCUUGCUAAUUGAAUUCAAAUCUAUCUCUAUUGUGUUCCUAUUAAUAUCUUCCUUCAUUUUUAAACUUCUUAUCAUGAUCUAUUCUUCCCUUACUAUAUGAAGGUGCAUUGGAAAGCACAUCUCCUAUGAUCUCUUCUGUUUUAUAUUAUCUAAUUUAUUACUCAAAUUCUAGUCUAAUCAUCAUCUGUCUAAUUUGUGAAAUGGAGAUCCCUGCUGUCAUCAUCAACACUGCCGUAAGUAAAUAUACUAAUAACUGAAUUUAAUCCUUUGGUGUAUUUCAGAUCAUCUGCUAUGGAAUUUUCCGAUGUCCGGCACGUUGUGGUUUUUUCCAUUGCUGCUCAGGUGCGUAUCUAUUCAAUACUUUAUGCCUUGUCGCUGUGUCUCUCCUCUUUCAGGCGCUGCAUCAUCCUUCUGAAGUCGUGGAGUCCUCCUGCUUGUCCUUACGCCAGGAAAAUUCCCUCGACAUCGGACCGGAUCAAUUCAUGCGUGAUCAUCUUGUCCCAUAUCCAGCGAAAUUCUAAUUAAAAUAUGUGAAAUGUAAAGUCUAAUCAUCAUCUGUCUAAUUUGUGAAAUGGAGAUCCCUGCUGUCAUCAUCAACACUGCCGUAAGUAAAUAUACUAAUAACUGAAUUUAAUCCUUUGGUGUAUUUCAGAUCAUCUGCUAUGGAAUUUUCCGAUGUCCGGCACGUUGUGGUUUUUUCCAUUGCUGCUCAGGUGCGUAUCUAUUCAAUACUUUAUGCCUUGUCGCUGUGUCUCUCCUCUUUCAGGCGCUGCAUCAUCCUUCUGAAGUCGUGGAGUCCUCCUGCUUGUCCUUACGCCAGGU